Molecule: ribosomal RNA, 497 nt
Filed under: uncultured bacterium
Lineage: Bacteria
Description: partial 16S ribosomal RNA
Rfam family: Bacterial small subunit ribosomal RNA
Source: RNAcentral
GAUGAACGCUGGCGGCGUGCCUAAUACAUGCAAGUCGAGCGAACGGACGAGAAGCUUGCUUUUCUGAUGUUAGCGGCGGACGGGUGAGUAACACGUGGAUAACCUACCUAUAAGACUGGGAUAACUUCGGGAAACCGGAGCUAAUACCGGAUAAUAUUUUGAACCGCAUGGUUCAAAAGUGAAAGACGGUCUUGCUGUCACUUAUAGAUGAAUCCGCGCUGCAUUAGCUAGUUGGUAAGGUAACGGCUUACCAAGGCAACGAUGCAUAGCCGACCUGAGAGGGUGAUCGGCCACACUGGAACUGAGACACGGUCCAGACUCCUACGGGAGGCAGCAGUAGGGAAUCUUCCGCAAUGGGCGAAAGCCUGACGGAGCAACGCCGCGUGAGUGAUGAAGGUCUUCGGAUCGUAAAACUCUGUUAUUAGGGAAGAACAUAUGUGUAAGUAACUGUGCACAUAUUGACGGUACCUAAUCAGAAAGCCACGGCUAACUACGUG